RNAcentral lists this transfer RNA (72 nucleotides) under Sterigmatomyces sp. RNAcentral's name for it is "tRNA-Gly". It matches the Rfam family "tRNA". Rfam says of the family: Transfer RNA (tRNA) molecules are approximately 80 nucleotides in length. The record is from RNAcentral. Lineage: Eukaryota; Fungi; Basidiomycota; Agaricostilbomycetes; Agaricostilbales; Agaricostilbaceae.
GCGAGUAUGGUAUAAUGGAAUUAUCUCUACCUUCCAAGUAGAUGACGUCGGGUUCGAUUCCCACUACUCGUA